UUAAGAAUAUCAAGGAUAAAGCCUCAAAAGCACGAACUCUUUCCAGCCUCACCAACAGACCUCGCCUCUUAUUCCUCCAACAUGAAAGAAUAUCAAGGACGAAGCUUCAAAAGCAGCACCCUAGACUCUAGACCAGCUGAAGUAUGCUCAGACUCCAAACUAGCUGAAGUCCGCCAAACCUUCUAUAAGAAGACUUUAAGAGCCAGCAUUUAGGACAAGCCUCAGCAGGAGGUUUCAAUACAAGAUAGAGAGGGAGUGCUCCACUAAAAAUCUCUUCUAUCUUGUAUUCAAAACUAAAACUCCUUCAAAAUUUGGUAUUCCAAAAUCCUCAAAAUCUUGUAGCAAAAUUCUUUCCUUCAAUCCAUCCUCAAAAUCUCUUCCCAAGUUUGUAUCCCAAAAGGCUUCAGCCUCGAAGGAAAAGAAUCAAACUUUCUGAAGCCAUCUUAUACCCAAAGUUCUCUUGUAUCCAAAGCCUCCUCAAAAUCGUGCAAGCUGUCAUUGUGUACCAUUUCCUAGUAAUUAAUUUUGUUAAAUAUGUAAAUCGUAGCUUGGAUGGCUAGCAACUGAUGAAACUUUAAGGUCAAGCAAUAACGACACGGCAGAUUUCAUUGAUAUUUGCCCUUAUGUAUUGCUUGACGCAUACAAUUGGCGCAACCACUCAACAAUCAUAAUUAUUUUCAGCCCUUCUUAUGUUGAAUGCAAGGGUUUAUUAAGCCAUGUGUUGAUGCAUGAGAUGGUUUGUAUUCCAAAGGCAAUGCUUAAUUCUAUUGCUAAAUAUCUAACCUUGUAUUUGUAUUUUAGUUUCCAAGUUAUUAAGGCUUUUUUCUAAUUCAAUUU
Molecule: non-coding RNA, 837 nt
Organism: Elaeis guineensis (African oil palm)
Lineage: Eukaryota; Viridiplantae; Streptophyta; Magnoliopsida; Arecales; Arecaceae
Source: RefSeq, a predicted model, not a curated record